GUACUCACUUCAGCAACACAUACACUAAAAUUGGAAGGAUACAGAGAUUAGCAUGGCCUCUGCAUAAGGAUGACACAUGAAUUCAUGAACCAUUCCACAUUUUU
Molecule: small nuclear RNA, 104 nt
Organism: Mirounga angustirostris (Northern elephant seal)
Lineage: Eukaryota; Metazoa; Chordata; Mammalia; Carnivora; Phocidae
Source: RefSeq, a predicted model, not a curated record